Molecule: ribosomal RNA, 233 nt
Filed under: uncultured bacterium
Lineage: Bacteria
Description: partial 16S ribosomal RNA
Rfam family: Bacterial small subunit ribosomal RNA
Source: RNAcentral
GAUCUGGCUCAGGAUGAACGCUAGCGACAGGCUUAACACAUGCAAGUCGAGGGGCAGCGGGGGUAGCGAUACCCGCCGGCGACCGGCGCACGGGUGAGUAACGCGUAUGCAACUUGCCUAUCAGAGGGGGAUAACCCGGCGAAAGUCGGACUAAUACCGCAUGAAGCAGGGAUCCCGCAUGGGAAUAUUUGCUAAAGAUUCAUCGCUGAUAGAUAGGCAUGCGUUCCAUUAGG